This is a non-coding RNA of Cicer arietinum (chickpea), 453 nucleotides long. The record is from RefSeq and is a predicted model, not a curated record. NCBI's taxonomy places the organism in Eukaryota, Viridiplantae, Streptophyta, Magnoliopsida, Fabales, Fabaceae.
AUAGCUUGGUUUAUUUAUUCUAAAACAAGGGAUGAAUAAAGAUUGAUUUAUUUAUUCCAAAAAAAAAAAAUGUCUUCUUUCCAUCAUUAUCAAAACCCAGUAGGAUGAAUAGCAAAAAAGUGGGUUCUUUCAAUCUUAGAUUCUCUCAACAAAGCAUUCUAGGAAAAGAUAAACUUGAGCUAGCUUUGAUUUUCAUUGAAGAGAAUUUGCAAGUGAAAGAUUCAACUACAAAAUUCAUUUCUGAAAAUUUCCUUUCUUCUCCAUUUCAAACGUGUUAAAUCGAAAAUGGAGAGAUUGAGUGCAGGAACAUAGAUCGGAGAAGAAAGGGAUUGGAAAAUAUUUUGUUGUCGGAGGAUGAGUUUGAACAAGAUGAUGUUGGUAUAUAAAUGUCUUAUUGAAAUGUGAAUUGUGGUUUAUUUCAAAUGAAAUUUAUUGUGGAUUUUCAUUUCUUUA